RNAcentral lists this transfer RNA (77 nucleotides) under Holdemanella sp. Its description in RNAcentral is "tRNA-Arg". It matches the Rfam family "tRNA". Rfam says of the family: Transfer RNA (tRNA) molecules are approximately 80 nucleotides in length. Their secondary structure includes four short double-helical elements and three loops (D, anti-codon, and T loops). The record is from RNAcentral. RNAcentral also lists the same sequence under 6 other names. Lineage: Bacteria; Bacillati; Bacillota; Erysipelotrichia; Erysipelotrichales; Erysipelotrichaceae.
GUCGACGUAGCUCAGCUGGAUAGAGCAUGCGCCUUCUAAGCGCACGGUCGGGGGUUCGAAUCCCUCCGUCGACGCCA